UCGUCCCCUUCAUGAACCAAACCCCAAAUUACCUGAAGGCCCCAGUUUGGAUUUGACGAAAAUCGCGAACCCUCAAAUCAUGAAGAACCUGAAUUUCUCUCGGUUUUUCUCCCCAAUUUGAUCACUUCUUGUCCUUUCCCUCAGGCCGAGUUCUUUUUCUGUCGAAUCGAUAGGGGUUGAGUCCCCCAUUUCGCCCAACACUCGACUGAUGUCUUUGCUCGGAUUCGCUCGUCCAAACCGCGAAGAUUUGGAAGCAUGAAUCUUGCCUUGCUGUCAUGGUUUCCGGUGACUGUGUGAUCACUCACAUGGACUAUCAUAAGAAGGCAAUGGACAUCUAGAGCUCACGCAGCUGUUGAAGACUGGAAACAUGAAUCUUGCCUUGUUGGCUUACGAAACUUUUUGCUUGCAGUGUCUCAGUAUAAUUUUUGUUUAAUACAGGUAGUACUCUUAUGGACUUAGAUUGUUCUGGGCUCUAGCAUGCGCGGAUGAGAUAUGCAUAGUUUGGAGAUUGCAUUAUCUUUGACUGAAAUGUCGAAAAGUCUUUUAGUAAGGGCUGUAACCCUUCACUUCCAAAAUCGAAGGACAUGGAUAAAGUCAUGGAUUUAGAGUUCAAUUCAUCAGAGCGUGAGCCUAGAGAUGGACUGCACACUGCUAAGUCAUUUUGUGAUGCCGAACUGUUUGAUAGAUGGUCCGAACUGUUUGAUGCUG
Long non-coding RNA from Rhodamnia argentea, 708 nucleotides. RefSeq lists it as uncharacterized. The record is from RefSeq and is a predicted model, not a curated record. NCBI's taxonomy places the organism in Eukaryota, Viridiplantae, Streptophyta, Magnoliopsida, Myrtales, Myrtaceae. The transcript has 2 exons.